RNAcentral lists this ribosomal RNA (497 nucleotides) under uncultured bacterium. Its description in RNAcentral is "partial 16S ribosomal RNA". It matches the Rfam family "Bacterial small subunit ribosomal RNA", at positions 28 to 507 of the family's 1533-position model. The record is from RNAcentral.
GAUGAACGCUGGCGGCGUGCCUAAUACAUGCAAGUCGAGCGAACAGACCAGGAGCUUGCUCCUAUGACUUUAUCGGCGGACGGGUGAGUAACACGUGGUUAACCUAACUCUAAGACUGGGAUAACUUUGGGGAACCGGAGCUAAUACCCGAUAAUAUAUUGCACCGGAUGGUUCACUCGUUGAAGUAGGUUUUUCUUACACUUAAAGCUUGCUCCGCGCCGCAUUCGCUAGUUGGGAAGGUGACGGCUUAGCAAGGCAACGAGGCGUAGCCGACCUGAGAGGGUGAUCGGCCACACGGGCACUGAGACACGGUCCAGACUCCUACAGGAGGCAGCAGUAGAGAAUCUUCCGCAAUGGGGCAAAGCCUGACGGAGCAACGCCGCGGGAAUGAUGAAGGUCUUAGGAUCGGAAAACUCUGUUAGUAGGGAAGAACAAAUGUGUAAGUAACUAUGCACAUCUUGACGGUACCGAAUCAGAAAGCCACGGCUAACUACGUG